Molecule: ribosomal RNA, 253 nt
Filed under: uncultured bacterium
Lineage: Bacteria
Description: partial 16S ribosomal RNA
Rfam family: Bacterial small subunit ribosomal RNA
Source: RNAcentral
UACGGGGGGGGCAAGCGUUGUUCGGAAUUACUGGGCGUAAAGGGCUCGUAGGCGGCCAACUAAGUCAGACGUGAAAUCCCUCGGCUUAACCGGGGAACUGCGUCUGAUACUGGAUGGCUAGAGGUUGGGAGGGGGAUGCGGAAUUCCAGGUGUAGCGGUGAAAUGCGUAGAUAUCUGGAGGAACACCGGUGGCGAAGGCGGCAUCCUGGACCGAGAUUGACGCUGAGGCGCGAAAGCUAGGGGAGCAAACGGG